UACGAACUGUGCAACCGUUAUUCGGAAUUACUGGGCGUAAAGGGUGCGUAGGUGGUUUCUUAAGUCAGAGGUGAAAGGCUACGGCUCAACCGUAGUAAGCCUUUGAAACUGAGAAACUUGAGUGCAGGAGAGGAGAGUAGAAUUCCUAGUGUAGCGGUGAAAUGCGUAGAUAUUAGGAGGAAUACCAGUUGCGAAGGCGGCUCUCUGGACUGUAACUGACACUGAGGCACGAAAGCGUGGGGAGCAAACAGG
RNAcentral lists this ribosomal RNA (252 nucleotides) under uncultured bacterium. RNAcentral's name for it is "partial 16S ribosomal RNA". It matches the Rfam family "Bacterial small subunit ribosomal RNA", at positions 524 to 776 of the family's 1533-position model. The record is from RNAcentral.